RNAcentral lists this non-coding RNA (446 nucleotides) under Pan troglodytes (chimpanzee). Lineage: Eukaryota; Metazoa; Chordata; Mammalia; Primates; Hominidae. The record is from RNAcentral.
AUCUUCGUGCAUAGGCAAACUUAUUGUAGCUAGACUGUACAAAGUAUAUCAAGAUAUGCCAAAUAUUGAGCUUAACUUCACCUGUUUGAGAGACGGUGUUUCUUUUAGCUUGCAACACCAUGAAAAAAUUACUGAGACACUAGGAACGCUGUGAACUGAGAAAGUUUGGGACCUUUGGCAUAACUAAAUCCUUCAUUUAACAGUGUUGUGAACUACUUGUCAUGGGAUAACCAAAAUUAAACCUGGAAUCUCAGAAGAAACAAAUUGUUUGAAGAAGUUGGAUGUGCUUUAAAAUUUUUAAAUUUUUCAUUCAACUAAAACUUUGUGAACUGUUUCUUGGUUGUGGUCUUCUCUAAAUUGUAAUCUUUGGCAUUCACUUCCAAAGUAUCCCCCACUAAACUUCAUAACAUUUAUUGUGUCUCUUCAUUAUUAAACUUUGAUGAAUU